AUGCUCGCUUUGGCAGCACAUAUACUAAAACUGGACUGAUAAUAGAGAAGAUCAGCAUGGCCCCUGUGCAAGGAUGAUACGCAAAUUCAUGAAGUGUUCCAUAUUUUU
This is a small nuclear RNA of Tupaia belangeri (northern tree shrew), 108 nucleotides long. NCBI's taxonomy places the organism in Eukaryota, Metazoa, Chordata, Mammalia, Scandentia, Tupaiidae. The record is from Ensembl.